CCUACGGGUGGCAGCAGUGGGGAAUAUUGCGCAAUGGGCGAAAGCCUGACGCAGCGACGCCGCGUGAGGGAUGAAGGUCUUCGGAUCGUAAACCUCUGUCAGCAGGGAAGAACGGUCACUGUGCUAAUCAGCAGUGAAUUGACGUUACCUGCAAAGGAAGCACCGGCUAACUCCGUGCCAGCAGCCGCGGUAAUACGGAGGGUGCGAGCGUUAAUCGGAUUUACUGGGCGUAAAGCGCUCGUAGACGGUAUGUCAAGUCAAGGGUGAAAUCCCCGGGCUCAACGUGGGAACUGCAUUUGAAACUGGCAGACUGGAGUGUGUGAGAGGUAAGUGGAAUUCGAGGUGUAGGGGUGAAAUGCGUAGAUAUCUGGAGGAACAUCAGUGGCGAAGGCGACUAACUGGACCAUAACUGACGCUGAGGAGCGAAAGCGUGGGUAGCAAACAGGAUUAGAUACCCUGGUAGUC
RNAcentral lists this ribosomal RNA (465 nucleotides) under uncultured bacterium. Its description in RNAcentral is "partial 16S ribosomal RNA". It matches the Rfam family "Bacterial small subunit ribosomal RNA", at positions 338 to 795 of the family's 1533-position model. The record is from RNAcentral.